GAAAGGCCCAUGUCGUCACCCGCACACCUGCACGACCUAACACGCUGGGUGCCCUCGGCGGCUCAACGCCAGGGCGCACGUCACCGGCGGGCGUCGCCCGGACGGCCUAGGGUUACAUCCAGCACGCUGCGCUCCAUAGAAUGAAGUAGCAAUUCUUUCAGCGAAAGAGAAGCACUGCAUAUUUGCAAGUGAAGCACAAAAGAUGGAAUGUUGGAAUUUGGAUGUACCACACUGUUGAGGGUUUGGGUAAGAAAAUGAGAGCAGAAUAAGGGGAACAAAAUAAGUGAUCCAUGGUGUUACAUCAAGUAUUUGUGAUACAGGUACGUGCUGAACUUAAAAUUCUCAUAUCAUGGAACACAUCAACUUUGGUAAUGUUGCUUUCUCUCCUUGAACAUCGGAUAAGAGGGUUGGUAACAAGUAUCUUAAAGCAUUGCAGUGGUGUAUUCCCUUCGCUGACAAGUGCGCUCUAGGUGGUGAUGGCCAUUCUAACAUGUCUUGAUCUGAUCUGCUUUUGGAAAAGAUGAGACCUGUACACGAUCCACGUGAAUGCAUCUUCCCAAGCUAAAGCUUCCAACCACGAUGGUUUCAUCUCUCAUUCAUGGACCGGGACUUAUCCGGCCUUGGUGUCUCCACACCAGCGCAACAAUGCUUGCUGCCUGCUGGCAAUGGAUUCUUCUCCUUGUCAUUGUCUUGCCCGUCGGCGCAUGGAUAUGGCAUCCGGUCCUGUGAGGUGAUUGGCAGAUUGGGUCACUUCAAACUUUGUAUCUACCCAUUGACUCGCGGAUAUACUUCAAAACUGACCAUCCGAGGAUCUUAUGCUAAAGGGAGAGAAGGUACUUGUCCAAUUGGCAUUGCGAAUUUGAUUCUUUUCUUCUUCCUCUCGAUCUUCCUCAUCCUGUCUUUCUCCUUGUUCUUUUCAGAAUCCUUAUCGUCACGUUUCAUCGUUUUUUCUUUUCCUGAGAACCUUAGCAGAUUUGGCUCCCACUAGUGGUCUGCACUUUUUUUUUUUUUUAGAAACACUAGUAGUCUAUACUUUGUAACUCUUUUUUUUUGUGUCACGGAGUAUGGAACGAAGUAUGAGAAAAUAUCAUAGAAACGGUUAGUUAGGGUAUUACCCUGCCUCCAAAAUACAAAGCAUCAGUAUCUCUGUGGAUGUUUGUGCAAAAUAUGAUUUACUUGACAUGAAUUUUGUUUCCCCAGUUGAUGGGUGUACACGACAAAUUAUGGCAAUUGCAGAAAUAUAUUUAUUUUGUUCA
Panicum virgatum (switchgrass) is the source of this 1256-nucleotide long non-coding RNA. RefSeq lists it as uncharacterized. The record is from RefSeq and is a predicted model, not a curated record. The transcript is spliced from 3 exons. Lineage: Eukaryota; Viridiplantae; Streptophyta; Magnoliopsida; Poales; Poaceae.